RNAcentral lists this long non-coding RNA (1095 nucleotides) under Homo sapiens (human). Its description in RNAcentral is "non-protein coding lnc-MKI67-11:2". Lineage: Eukaryota; Metazoa; Chordata; Mammalia; Primates; Hominidae. The record is from RNAcentral.
CAGCCAGGAUCGUCAGGUUUCCUGAGGUUUCCAGCUGGGCACAUUCCUGAUGGCCUCUGCGUGUGCACAUGUGUGUCCUUUUUUCUUAGAGAUUCUGCAUUUGUAACAACUUCCCAGGUGAUUUUGAUGGACGCUGACUUUCAGAGCUCAUUGCCCUAAAGACUCCUGGCCUAAGAGUGAGGAAGUCUGAGGAAUCUGGUUUCAGCUCCACUGAUAUCUAACCGCACGUACACCAGGUCCUGCAGAUGACAACCUCUGGUGGAACGGAGUGAUGCUGGAUUCAGUACUCAACACACAAGUGUCAGCUCCUGGGAAGGGCAAAAGCAGCUUCACAGCGACACCAGGGAUGGCAGAGAUGUUCUUCCUCAGCGUUCCCAUGGAGAACACUAGUGUCCUGAGAGAGAAUGCACCUGCUUUGGUGAACACUGACUGUCUCAGCUGUGGCAUGACGACAAGGGCUUGGAGGAAAUGCCAACUGACUCCAGCAGCACAACCUGGAGAACGCGGCUCAGAGAAGACUUGAGAACGUGGCUCAGAGAAGACUUGCAGUGGGUGGGCCCGGCCUCUUCCAGGUGGGGGACUCCCAGGUGAGGCCACUGCUCUGCCCUGGGCCAUCACACUUUGAGAAGGGGACUGGGUGUAGGUAAUGCCCACACUUGGCCAUGAUUCUGCUUCCACAGAGGUCCCAGCUAAAUAGUCUUAAUUAACAAUGUGAUGUUACCUUUAAGGGAUGAAGGUUUAGUGAUUGAGAGAAAUGAGGAAUUCAGGAAUGUGCUUAGCACUGAGCGGUUUCUUAACACAUAUGGUUGGCAAAUCAAGGCACAACUUAAAACCACUCAAUUAAGGUAAUAAAUUAAGCAGUGAAACUAAUUUCUAAAUAUCCCAAAUUUGACACACAUUAUUCCAAAGAUCUCAGACCUCCUCCUGCCAUGGCCUUCCUUUCCUUUGAGCUGCUCAAGCCAUGUAAGUUGCCUCCCCUCUUUCUGUGAUAUCUUCUACCCAUUGGCAACAAAUCCUCUCCAAAGUGUGCAGCAUCUAGCCAUGUCUGAGCUACUGUCAAGGCUCAGCUGUGUGGCCACCACAUGACCUCCUGAC